Molecule: ribosomal RNA, 318 nt
Filed under: Pseudomonas putida
Lineage: Bacteria; Pseudomonadati; Pseudomonadota; Gammaproteobacteria; Pseudomonadales; Pseudomonadaceae
Description: bacterial SSU rRNA
Rfam family: Bacterial small subunit ribosomal RNA
Source: RNAcentral
UGCAAGUCGAGCGGAUGACGGGAGCUUGCUCCUUGAUUCAGCGGCGGACGGGUGAGUAAUGCCUAGGAAUCUGCCUGGUAGUGGGGGACAACGUUUCGAAAGGAACGCUAAUACCGCAUACGUCCUACGGGAGAAAGCAGGGGACCUUCGGGCCUUGCGCUAUCAGAUGAGCCUAGGUCGGAUUAGCUAGUUGGUGAGGUAAUGGCUCACCAAGGCGACGAUCCGUAACUGGUCUGAGAGGAUGAUCAGUCACACUGGAACUGAGACACGGUCCAGACUCCUACGGGAGGCAGCAGUGGGGAAUAUUGGACAAUGGGC